AGAGAUGAUGGCGGAGGCAAGAGGACCUAUUAUUUCGUGUAGAUGCAGCAAAACCGAAGACUGUCGGGGCAUUUGCGCCGUGUGCCCUAACUAUAGCUGCAUUAAUAACCUUUGUACUUGCCUUUCAAAUGCACACACUCCAACAGUUGAAUGAAAUGGUGGGAUUUUUUUGUGUAAUUUGAAAUAAAUUAUCAUGCAAUGGAUCUAAUAAGAAAAAAUAUUGUAAUUAUUUUUAUUUUUAUUUUCUUUUUACCCAUCUCUGCCCCUCCCCCCUUUCUAGUAGCGAAAAGUAUGUUACAUUUCAAAAAUAUAAAAAGAGUUACAAUCUUGUUUUAAAACUAAAAGAAAUAACAGUAAGAAGAAAAGAUAGGAGAAAAAUUAGGACACAAAAUGAGAUGAUAAUUCUUCUUUCUACUUGUAUCUCAUAAGCUUGUAUAUGGCUUCAAUCUAUAGGGCUUCAACAAUUAUAGGCUAAAAAUAAUAAAAAUAGGAAUAUCAAAAAUCGCAAUAAAUUGAAUGGGUAUUUCAUGAGCUGCAAAUUCCACCGUAUUCUUUUGGUUGGGACACUGUGCUAAUUUAUUAACAACACCCUGCACUAGAUGUGUAUCAAAUGGAAACGUGCUCUGUUAAAACUUUAUUAGAAAAAAUUGCAUAAGCACCUGUUAUAAGCUAAAACAUUAAAAACAUUUUCUAAGAAAACUUAGCUGGACAAUACCUUGGGUAAAGGAAAGAGUAAACAUGUUUUAGACUCCCCCUAAUUUUAAAAAUAUUUAAACAUGGUACAAAUUUUGAAACAAUUUUUUGUUGCUAAAUACUUCGUCAAAGAGAAUCAUACUAUGAAGACAUGCCUUUUUAAUUACAAUGAUAACCAUUGAGUUUCAUUGUAUAAUCUAGGUUCAUUUGCCAAUAACUCUUUUGCACAUCAUAAUAUAGGUUGGAACGAAUAAAACUUUAAAUAAAGCGACAUUAAUACACGCAUGAAAGCCUCCAUUCAUUUCUUAUAAGUUUAUUUUUAUAUCCACAAUCAACAUUUUUCUUCUGCGGACAUGAUACCUUGCUAUUGCAUAUGAUUUAAGGAAAACUGUAUAUUAAAUUUAGCCUCCUGGCUUUGGAGAUUUCUACAUCCUAUCUCUCUUUCUUACCCCGUUGCAAGGAUGUUCAUGUAGACCACCUGAUAGAUAGUUGUAUGGUUUCUUUAUUCUUAUUGAAACACAUAUCGAGUCUUUCUUGACAUCACUGUGACUUUAAUAGUCAUUACCAAUAUGGUUUGAAUCUUGCAGGUUUUGAGUACAUUGGCGUGUCAUUCGGCCCAAUUAAAGGCUAUUAUUAUUGUUUCAAUUUGAGACCGCUCUCUUCUAGUUUUUCUUCUUCUUUUCUCGUUUUGGUUUCCUACCCUUUAUAUGCUUGUUGUAGUAUUUUUCCUUAAGUUAAUUUUGGAAAUACAUAGAAUCUAUUAAAUGGAGUGCCAUUAAUCUUAUCAACAUUAUAUCUCAUCAUCUUCUUGCUUGUUUUUAGGAUCUUUAUGGCCAUGGUUAGACAAGAGUGUAUCUAUCUUGUAACACUUAUUUUGGGAGAUGCAAUGUGCACAUUUUCUAAAAGUCCUACACUUUUACCUGUUGUGUCAAUGAGGCCAUCUUUAGGUAUUUCCCCCUCUAUUUAUUUCAUUAGUCAAAUUGGAUGUACUUUUAUGAACUUAAAAUCAAACAAUCACUUUUUGCUUUUUUGUAACCUCUCUUUUCAGGUCUGAUAACAUCGAUCAUGAAGUUGAGCUCCUCCGUGGAUAGCCUUGGUUAUUUGUUUCCAUUUAUUCACAAUCUCUUGCAACAAAAUUUGACAUUUUAACUGUAGUGAUAGUUUUAUUAGCCUUGUAGUGAGCCCAAGAUACCAACUGCUCCCACCCAUGAUUUUGAAUUUCAAAUACUUUAUUUAAAUGAUUUUGAUGUUUAGAAAUUUAAAAAAUAAACUAAUUUUCUUCUAAAGUUUAUUACUUAGCGAUCCGCUGCUUGGGAUAGGAAGAACUUAAACCCUGGGCCUGACAAACCUAGGAAGUCAUCUAGGUGAGAAUUAACCCAAAAUUGGUAUUGCCUAUCCAUGAACCUCUUACCUCAAGUUGGUCUGGACUGUGAGGUCGAAAGAUAAGUAGUUGUUUCCAACUCAUUAGUUUAGUGGAAGAUCGAGAGAUCCUACUAGGUUAGCGGCUAAUUGAUUGAGUAGAACCAAAAAUAGGAUUUAGUUAUGACCACUGAAGCGAGCUAAUCACUCAUGCUUAGAUUUUAUUGAAUCACAUAUUAGUUCUCCAUCUUUUUUAUUUUAUGCAAGUUUAUUUCUUUUCUUAUAAAAACAACUAUUUUUCACUUUAUGAUCAUUGUACUAUAAUUUAUUUAACUUACUAAUUAGAUCUAUUUGCGUUUAGGUUAAUAUUAAUUUAAUACUUGUCUCCCUUGGGUACGAUCCUCGAGUACUCACCUACUUCGUUGUAAAACUAUAUUGCAACCUGACUCGUAUACUUGAGGACACCGCCUCAAUUCAAUAUAUACUUUUAGCAAUAUUCACACUCUGGAUUCUAGUACGUCCGAAGGCAGUCACUUUCCAAAGUGGCGUGGAGUUUAUCUGCAAAUUAGUGGUGGCUCGUCUACAAUCCGGAGUGAUAUGUUAGACGAGUUCUGGGGAAUUCAUACGUGAUGUGUGUAGCGGAGUUGGGUAGGACUUUUCUGUUAAUUUGAAACUUUAAUGCAUUGAUAAGCAUGUGCAUAUAAAAUUGUGAAUACCAAUAUAGUGAAGUGAAGCGUUUUAUUUGAAAAACCGUUAAUCUGAGGUGCUUUGUGGUUGUCUUUAAUCUCAGGAUUGCUAAUUUAUGUGCCUUAUUGGUUUGCUGUUUUAUUUUGAUUUUCUUGUGCCUUCAUUAGUUUCUUAUAAGUCUAUUUUUAUAUCCAAAAUCAACAUUUUUCUUAUGCGGACAUGAUACCUUGCUAUUGCAUAUGACUUAAGGAAAACUGUAUAUUAAACUUAGCCUCCUGGCAUUGGAGAUUUCUACAUCCUAUCUCUCUUUCUUACUCCUUUGCAAGGAUGUUCAUGUAGGCCACCUGAUAGAUAGUUGUAUGGUUUCUUUAUUCUUAUUGAAACACAUAUCGGGCCUUUCUUUACAUCACUAUGACUUUAAUAGUCAUUACCAAUAUGGUUUGACUCUUGCAGGUUUUGAGUACAUUGGCGUGUCAUUCAGCCCAAUUAAAGGCUAUUAUUGUUGUUUCAAUUUGAAAUCGCUCUCUUCUAGUUUUUCUUCUUCUUUUCUCAUUUUGGUUUCCUACCCUUUAUAUGCUUGUUGUAGUAUUUUUCCUUAAGUUAAUUUUGGAAAUACAUAGAAUCUAUUGAAUGGAGUGCCAUUAAUCUUAUCAACAUUAUAUCUCAUCAUCUUCUUGCUUGUUUUUAGGAUCUUCAUGGCCAUGGUUAGACAAGAGUUUAUCUAUCUUGUAACACUUAUUUUGGGACAUGCAAUGUGCAAAUUUUCUAUAAGUCCUACACUUUUACCUGUUGUGUCAAUGAGGCCAUCUAUAGGUAUUUCCCCCUCUAUUUAUUUCAUUAGUCAAAUUGGAUGUACUUUUAUGAACUUAAAUCAAACAAUCACUUUUUGCCUUUUUGUAACCUCUCUUUUCAGGUCUGAUAACAUCGAUCAUUAAGUUGAGCUCCUCUGUGGAUAGCCUUGGUUGUUUGUUUCCAUUUAUUCACAAUCUCUUGCAACAAAUUUUGACAUUUUAACUGUAGUGAUAGUUUUAUUAACUUUGUAGCGAGCCCAAGAUACCAACUGCUCCCACCCAUGAUUUUGAAUUUUAAAUAUUUUAUUUAAAUGAUUUUGAUGUUUAGAAAUUUAAAAAAUAAACUAAUUUUCUUCUAAAUUUUAUUACUUAGCGAUCCGCUGCUUGGGAUAGGAAGAACUUAAACCCUAGGCCUGACAAACCUAGGAAGUCAUCUAGGUGAGAAUUAACCCAAAAUUUGUAUUGCCUAUCCAUGAACCUCUUACCUCAAGUUGGUCUGGACUGUGAGGUCGAAAGAUAAGUAGUUGUUGCCAACUCAUUAGUUUAGUGGAAGAUCGAGAGAUCCUACUACGUUAGCGGCUAAUUGAUUGAGUAGAACCAAAAAUAGGAUUUAGUUAUGACCACUGAAGCGAGCUAAUCACUCAUGCUUAGAUUUUAUUGAAUCACAUAUUAGUUCUCCAUCUUUUUUAUUUUAUGCAAGCUUAUUUCUUUUCUUAUAAAAACAACUAUUUUUCACUUUAUGAUCACCGUCCUAUAAUUUAUUUAAGUUACUAAUUAGAUCUAUUUGCGUUUAGGUUAAUAUUAAUUUAGUACUUGUCUCCCUUGGGUACAAUCCUACUUCGUUGUAACACUAUAUUCCAACCUGACUCGUAUACUUGAGGACACCGCCUCAAUUCAAUAUAUACUUUUAGCAAUAUUCACACCCUAGAUUCUAGUACGUCCGAAGGCGGUCACUUUCCAAAGUGGCACGUAGUUUAUCUGCAAAUCAGUGGUGGCUCGUCUACAAUUCGGAGUGAUAUGUUAGACGAGUUCUGGGGAAUUCAUAAGUGAGAUGUGUAGCGGAGUUGGGUAGGACUUUUCUGUUAAUUUGAAACUUCAAUGCAUUCAUAAGCACGUGCAUAUAAAAUUGUGAAUACCAAUAUAGUGAAGUGAGGCGUUUUAUGUGAAAAACCGUUAAUCUGAGGUGCUUUGUGGUUGUCUUUAAUCUCAGGAUUGCUAAUUCAUGUGCCUUAUUGGUUUGUUGUUUUAUUUUGAUUUUCUUGUGACUGAACUCACAUUGAGCUUCAUAGCUCACUGCCCUUUAGUUCCCAUCCUUAUAGAUAACCCACAAGGUUGGGAUGCAACAUAUGGAGGGCUCGAAAAAGUUUUAAUGUUAUAAAAGUAUUGUUAUGCUUAUUUUAAAAUUUAUGUUAUUUCGGAACUGUACGGUAUUAUUUAUUUUCUGGCAUUGGAUUCAUAUUUAGGUUUUGGUUUUAUAUUGCAAGCAUGACAUAUAAAUUGUUGUUUUUAAGAUGAUGAAAUAUGGAUUUCAAUUAAAUAUGCAUGAAAUAUUGAUGUUAGUAAAACUCAUGAAAAGCCAUUUUUCCGCUGAAAGGUCAUGAUUAAAUUUUGUCUAAUAACUACAAUAUAACUAUGUUUCCAAUAGCUAUCACAUUUUACAAGAAAAAUAUUAGUUUAAUUGUAUUUUAUAUACCCAUGAUUUGUUUUCUAAAAAUAGACACAGUCUUUGUAAGGAUAAAAAAAUAUUUUAAUGUGACUAUAUAAAAUCUUCGAUUGCACUAGGCCAUCACGGUGGCCGAUGUAAUCUCCCGAACUCGGGCCUACCGUCUAGGCCAAUUUGGGGAGGUUGCAAUUUCAAUGCCAUAAAGUACUAAAACCAUAUUUUCAAUCAUCUUCAGCAUAGAUUAUUUCAUGUUGAUAUGAGUUGAAUUAAAAUAUUUAAUUUGAACUUAUAAAUUUGUCAUAUUUAAGGGGAAAAAAAGUGGUUUUUACUUCAAACAAAAAGAAGAGAUAAAUUGUUACCAACUAAAUUGAUGAACAAGAAUUUGAUAUGAUAUAUACGUGAAUACAAUAAAAAUACAUUAAUUGCGCUACAAUUGUGUAUAAUAUCGUUUUUAUUUAGUUAUAUUGUGUUUGUACAAAAUUUGUAAAGAUAAAAUACUAUGCAUCAAAUAUGUUCAAUUCUAAUUCUAAUUCUAAUUCUAAUUCUAAUUCCAGUUCCAAUUUGAGUUUGAACUUGAUUUGGAACACAAAAAUUGAGCAUGAUGCCAAGUAUGAGAAUCCAACUCAAGUCUUAUCAAAUAAACAAGCCUAAAUAAAUCUAGUAAAGCUAAUUAAAGCAGUUUAAUCUUUAUCUUGUAUCAAGUUUAUAUUUUAAAAGUUAAACUCAAUGAAGUUAUAUUGGAGCAUUCAAUUCUCUAGGUUUCUAUGGAGAUUGAGAUUGAAUUUCUUGGCUCAGUUCAACCCCAUUAAAUAACUUUAAAUUUUUUAUUUUGAUACAAUAGUUAAUAUUGUUUCCAAACUCAUAUAACUGGUUGUGUAGGAAGGGGUCAGGUUUUUUUGUGUGCUUUCUCUCACUACUAUCUCCAAAAUUUUAAUGCUUUUAGUAUUUUAAUAUUUGAAAAUUAUUAAAAAAUUUGUCUAGCAAGAAAAAUAUAAUUUAAUCUUUUCUUCUCCUAGACCACAAAUAAAAAAAAUUGGAACAUAUUUCCCAUUUGUUUUUAAACGGUUGGACUAAUAAUCAACUUAUUGGCAUCAUGCAUUCCAGAUUUGGUAACAUUAAUUUCCAUGACUACACUUAGAACAAAAUAAUGAUAAUUAGUAAACAAAAUCCACAUCAAUCUUCUCAAAGAUGUUUUGCUGAUAUACUUUCCUUUUAGACAUAGUUUCAUAAGGAAAAAAAUAAAAACGUAAUAAUCUCAAAGAAUCCAAAGAAAUUAGUAUUCCUCCAUGCAACACAAAAUAAGAUACUAUAUAUAUUAAAUCCAUAAGCUAUAAAUUUCCACCAACAUAGUUAAUUAGAUAUAAAGAGAUGGCAAAGUUUUCAUUCAAUUUGUUUAUAUUUGCUGUCAUCUUAAUCUUUGCAACUCGUUAGUUUCUUCCUAUGCAGCUCUUUUAUUUCCUUUGGUAUAAAUAUUAUGUUUUUGUUUAAUUUAACACAAGGGAAUUUUUGCUGCAGACUCAGAGAUGAUGGCGGAGGCAAGAGGACCUGUUAUUUCGUGUAGAUGCAGCAAAACCGAAGACUGUCAGGGUAUUUGCGCCGUGUGCCCCAACUAUAGCUGCAUUAAUAACCUUUGUACUUGCCUUUCAAACGCACCUCCAUUUCCAUAGUCUUAGAAUCUACACACUCCAACAGUUGAAUGAAAUGGUGGGAUUUUUUUGUGUAAUUUGAAAUAAAUUAUCAUGCAAUGGAUCUAAUAAGAAAAAAUAUUGUAAUUAUUGUAAUUUUAAUUUUCUUUUUACCCUUCUCUGCGCCUCCCCUCCCCCUUUCUAGUAACGAAAAGUAUGUUACAUUUCAAAUAUAUAAAAAGAGUUACAAUCUUGUUUUAAAACUAAAAGAAAUAACAGUAAGAACAAAAGAUAGGAGAAAAAUUAAGACACAAAAUGAGAUGAUAAUUCUUCUUUCUACUUGUAUCUCAUAAGCUUGUAUAUGGCUUCAAUCUAUAGGGCUUCAACAAUGAUAGGCUAAAAAUAAUAUAAAUAGGAAUUUCAAAACUCGCAAUAACUUGAAUGGGUAUUUCAUAAGUUUCAAAUUCCACCGUAUUCUUUUGGUGGGGACACUUUGUUAAUUUAUUAACAACACUAUGCACUAGAUGUGUAUCGAAUGGAAACGAGCUCUGUUAAAACUUUAUUAGAAAAAAUUGCAUAAGCACCUAUAAUAAGCUAAAACAUUAAAGACAUUUCAUGGGAAAACUUAGCUGGACAAUACCUUGGGUAAAGGAAAGAGUAAACAUGUUUUAGACUCCCCCUAAUUUUAAAAAUAUUGAAACAUGGUACAAAUUUUGAAACAAUUUUUUGUUGCUAACUACUUCGUCAAGGAGAAUCAUACUAUGAAGACAUGCCUUUUUAAUUACAAUGAUAACCAUUGAGUUUCAUUGUAUACUCUAGGUUCAUUUGCCAAUAACUCUUUUGCACAUCAUAAUAUAGGUGGGGGCGAAUAAAACUUUAAAUUAAGCGACAUUAAUACAUGCAUUAAAGCCUCCAUUAAUUUCUUAGAAGUUUAUUUUUAUGUCCACAAUCAACAUUUUUCUUAUGCGGACAUGAGACCUUGCUAUUGCAUAUGACUUAAGGAAAACUGUAUAUUAAAUUUAGCCUCGUGGCUUUGGAGAUUUCUACAUCCUAUCUCUCUUUCUUACUCCGUUUCAAGGAUGUUCAUGUAGACCACCUGAUAGAUAGUUGUAUGGUUUCUUUAUUCUUAUUGAAACACAUAUCGAGUCUUUCUUGACAUCACUGUGACUUUAAUAGUCAUUACCAAUAUGGUUUGACUCUUGCAGGUUUUGAGUACAUUGGCGUGUCAUUCGGCCCAAUUAAAGGCUAUUAUUGUUGUUUCAAUUUGAGAUCGCUCUCUUCUAGUUUUUCUUCUUCUUUUCUCAUUUUGGUUUCCUACCCUUUAUAUGCUUGUUGUAGUAUUUUUCCUUAAGUUAAUUUUGGAAAUACAUAGAAUCUAUUGAAUGGAGUGCCAUUAAUCUUAUCAACAUUAUAUCUCAUCAUCUUCUUGCUUGUUUUUAGGAUCUUCAUGGCCAUGGUUAGACAAGAGUUUAUCUAUCUUGUAACACUUAUUUUGGGACAUGCAAUGUGCACAUUUUCUAUAAGUCCUACACUUUUACCAGUUGUUUCAAUGAGGCCAUCUUUAGGUAUUUCCCCCUCUAUUUAUUUCAUUAGUCAAAUUGGAUGUACUUUUAUGAACUUAAAUCAAACAAUCACUUUUUGCGUUUUUGUAACCUCUCUUUUCAGGUCUGAUAACAUCGAUCAAGAAGUUGAGCUCCUCCAUGGAUAGCCUUGGUUGUUUGUUUCCAUUUAUUCACAAUCUCUUGCAACAAAUUUUGACAUUUUAACUGUAGUGAUAGUUUUAUUAGCCUUGUAGCGAGCCCAAGAUACCAACUGCUCCCACCCAUGAUUUUGAAUUUUAAAUACUUUAUUUAAAUGAUUUUGAUGUUUAGAAAUUUAAAAAAUAAACUAAUUUUCUUUUAGGUGAGAAUUAACCCAAAAUUGGUAUUGCCUAUCCAUGAACCUCUUACCUCAAGUUGGUCUGGACUGUGAGGUCGAAAGAUAAGUAGUUGUUGCCAACUCAUUAGUUUAGUGGAAGAUCGAGAGAUCCUACUAGGUUAGCGACUAAUUGAUUGAGUAGAACCAAAAAUAGGAUUUAGUUAUGACCACUGAAGCGAGCUAAUCACUCAUGCUUAGAUUUUAUUGAAUCACAUAUUACUUCUCCAUCUUUUUUAUUUUAUGCAAGCUUAUUUCUUUUCUUAUAAAAACAACUAUUUUUCACUUUAUGAUCAUCGUACUAUAAUUUAUUUAAGUUACUAAUUAGAUCUAUUUGCGUUUAGGUUAAUAUUAAUUUAGUACUUGUCUCCCUUGGGUACGAUCCUCGAGUACUCACCUACUUCGUUGUAAAACUAUAUUACAGCCUGACUCGUAUACUUGAGGACACCGCCUCAAUUCAAUAUAUACUUUUAGCAAUAUUCACACUCUGGAUUCUAGUACGUCCGAAGGCGGUCACUUUCCAAAGUGGCGCGUAGUUUAUCUGCAAAUCAGUGGUGGCUCGUCUACAAUCCGGAGUGAUAUGUUAGACGAGUUCUGGGGAAUUCAUACGUGAGGUGUGUAGCGGAGUUGGGUAGGACUUUUCUGUUAAUUUGAAACUUCAAUGCAUUCAUAAGCACGUGCAUAUAAAAUUGUGAAUACCAAUAUAGUGAAGUGAAGCGUUUUAUGUGAAAAACAGUUAAUCUGAGGUGCUUUGUGGUUGUCUUUAAUCUCAAGAUUGCUAAUUCAUGUGCCUUAUUGGUUUGUUGUUUUAUUUUGAUUUUCUUGUGACUGAACUCACAUUGAGCUUCAUAGCUCACUGCCCUUUAGUUCCCAUCCUUAUAGAUAACCCACCAGGUUGGGAUGCGACAUAUGGAGGGUCGAAAAAGUUUUAAUGUUAUGAAAGUGUUGUUAUGCUUAUUUUAAAAUUUAUGAUAUUUCGGAACUGUACUGUAUUGUUUAUUUUCUAGCAUUGGAUUCAUAUUUAGGUUUUGGUUUUAUAUUGCAAGCAUGACAUAUAAAUUGUUGUUUUUAAGAUGAUGAAAUAAGGAUUUCAAUUAAAUAUGCAUGAAAUAUAGAUGUUAGUAAAACUCAUGAAAAGCCAUUUUUCCGCUGAAAGGUCAUAAUAAAAUUUUAUCUAAUAACUACAAUAUAACUAUGUUUCCAAUAGUUAUCACAUUUUACAAGAAAAAUAUUAGUUUAAUUGUAUUUUAUAUACCCAUGAUUUGUUUUCUAAAAAUAGACACAGUCUUUGUAAGGAUAAAAAAAUAUUUUAAUGUGACUAUUUAAAAUCUUCGAUUGCACUAGGCCAUCACGGUGGCCGAUGUAAUCUCCCGAACUCGGGCCUACCGUCUAGGCCAAUUUGGGGAGGUUACAAUUUCAAUGCCAUAAAGUACUAAAACCAUAUUUUCAAUCAUCUUCAGCAUAGAUUAUUUCAUGUUGAUAUGAGUUGAAUUAAAAUAUUUAAUUUGAACUUAUAAAUUUGUCAUAUUUAAGGGGAAAAAAAGUGGUUUUUACUUCAAACAAAAAGAAGAGAUAAAUUGUUACCAACUAAAUUGAUGAACAAGAAUUUGAUAUGAUAUAUACGUGAAUACAAUAAAAAUACAUUAAUUGCGCUACAAUUGUGUAUAAUAUCCUUUUUAUUUAGUUAUAUUGUGUUUGUACAAAAUUUGUAAAGAUAAAAUACUAUGCAUCAAAUAUGUUCAAUUCUAAUUCUAAUUCUAAUUCUAAUUCUAAUUCUAAUUCCAGUUCCAAUUUGAGUUUGAACUUGAUUUGGAACACAAAAAUUGAGCAUGAUGCCAAGUAUGAGAAUCCAACUCAAGUCUUAUCAAAUAAACAAGCCUAAAUAAAUCUAGUAAAGCUAAUUAAAGCAGUUUAAUCUUUAUCUCGUAUCAAGUUUAUAUUUUAAAAGUUAAACUCAAUGAAGUUAUAUUGGAGCAUUCAAUUCUCUAGGUUUCUUUGGAGAUUGAGAUUGAAUUUCUUGGCUCAGUUCAACCCCAUUAAAUAACUUUAAAUUUUUUAUUUUGAUACAAUAGUUAAUAUUGUUUCCAAACUCAUAUAACUGGUUGUGUAGGAAGGGGUCAGGUUUUUUUGUGUGCUUUCUCUCACUACUAUCUCCAAAAUUUUAAUGCUUUUAGUAUUUUAAUAUUUGAAAAUUAUUAAAAAAUUUGUCUAGCAAGAAAAAUAUAAUUUAAUCUUUUCUUCUCCUAGACCACAAAUAAAAAAAAUUGGAACAUAUUUCCCAUUUGUUUUUAAACGGUUGGACUAAUAAUCAACUUAUUGGCAUCAUGCAUUCCAGAUUUGGUAACAUUAAUUUCCAUGACUACACUUAGAACAAAAUAAUGAUAAUUAGUAAACAAAAUCCACAUCAAUCUUCUCAAGGAUGUUUUGCUGAUAUACUUUCCUUUUAGACAUAGUUUCAUAAGGAAAAAAAUAAAAACGUAAUAAUCUCAAAGAAUCCAAAGAAAUUAGUAUUCCUCCAUGCAACACAAAAUAAGAUACUAUAUAUAUUAAAUCCAUAAGCUAUAAAUUUCCACCAACAUAGUUAAUUAGAUAUAAAGAGAUGGCAAAGUUUUCAUUCAAUUUGUUUAUAUUUGCUGUCAUCUUAAUCUUUGCAACUCGUUAGUUUCUUCCUAUGCAGCUCUUUUAUUUCCUUUGGUAUAAAUAUUAUGUUUUUGUUUAAUUUAACACAAGGGAAUUUUUGCUGCAGACUCAGAGAUGAUGGCGGAGGCAAGAGGACCUGUUAUUUCGUGUAGAUGCAGCAAAACCGAAGACUGUCAGGGUAUUUGCGCCGUGUGCCCCAACUAUAGCUGCAUUAAUAACCUUUGUACUUGCCUUUCAAACGCACCUCCAUUUCCAUAGUCUUAGAAUCUACACACUCCAACAGUUGAAUGAAAUGGUGGGAUUUUUUUGUGUAAUUUGAAAUAAAUUAUCAUGCAAUGGAUCUAAUAAGAAAAAAUAUUGUAAUUAUUGUAAUUUUAAUUUUCUUUUUACCCUUCUCUGCGCCUCCCCUCCCCCUUUCUAGUAGCGAAAAGUAUGUUACAUUUCAAAUAUAUAAAAAGAGUUACAAUCUUGUUUUAAAACUAAAAGAAAUAACAGUAAGAACAAAAGAUAGGAGAAAAAUUAAGACACAAAAUGAGAUGAUAAUUCUUCUUUCUACUUGUAUCUCAUAAGCUUGUAUAUGGCUUCAAUCUAUAGGGCUUCAACAAUGAUAGGCUAAAAAUAAUAUAAAUAGGAAUUUCAAAACUCGCAAUAACUUGAAUGGGUAUUUCAUAAGUUUCAAAUUCCACCGUAUUCUUUUGGUGGGGACACUUUGUUAAUUUAUUAACAACACUAUGCACUAGAUGUGUAUCGAAUGGAAACGAGCUCUGUUAAAACUUUAUUAGAAAAAAUUGCAUAAGCACCUAUAAUAAGCUAAAACAUUAAAGACAUUUCAUGGGAAAACUUAGCUGGACAAUACCUUGGGUAAAGGAAAGAGUAAACAUGUUUUAGACUCCCCCUAAUUUUAAAAAUAUUGAAACAUGGUACAAAUUUUGAAACAAUUUUUUGUUGCUAAAUACUUCGUCAAGGAGAAUCAUACUAUGAAGACAUGCCUUUUUAAUUACAAUGAUAACCAUUGAGUUUCAUUGUAUACUCUAGGUUCAUUUGCCAAUAACUCUUUUGCACAUCAUAAUAUAGGUGGGGGCGAAUAAAACUUUAAAUUAAGCGACAUUAAUACAUGCAUUAAAGCCUCCAUUAAUUUCUUAGAAGUUUAUUUUUAUGUCCACAAUCAACAUUUUUCUUAUGCGGACAUGAGACCUUGCUAUUGCAUAUGACUUAAGGAAAACUGUAUAUUAAAUUUAGCCUCGUGGCUUUGGAGAUUUCUACAUUCUAUCUCUCUUUCUUACUCCGUUUCAAGGAUGUUCAUGUAGACCACCUGAUAGAUAGUUGUAUGGUUUCUUUAUUCUUAUUGAAACACAUAUCGAGUCUUUCUUGACAUCACUGUGACUUUAAUAGUCAUUACCAAUAUGGUUUGACUCUUGCAGGUUUUAAGUACAUUGGCGUGUCAUUCGGCCCAAUUAAAGGCUAUUAUUGUUGUUUCAAUUUGAGAUCGCUCUCUUCUAGUUUUUCUUCUUCUUUUCUCAUUUUGGUUUCCUACCCUUUAUAUGCUUGUUGUAGUAUUUUUCCUUAAGUUAAUUUUGGAAAUACAUAGAAUCUAUUGAAUGGAGUGCCAUUAAUCUUAUCAACAUUAUAUCUCAUCAUCUUCUUGCUUGUUUUUAGGAUCUUCAUGGCCAUGGUUAGACAAGAGUUUAUCUAUCUUGUAACACUUAUUUUGGGACAUGCAAUGUGCACAUUUUCUAUAAGUCCUACACUUUUACCAGUUGUUUCAAUGAGGCCAUCUUUAGGUAUUUCCCCCUCUAUUUAUUUCAUUAGUCAAAUUGGAUGUACUUUUAUGAACUUAAAUCAAACAAUCACUUUUUGCGUUUUUGUAACCUCUCUUUUCAGGUCUGAUAACAUCGAUCAAGAAGUUGAGCUCCUCCAUGGAUAGCCUUGGUUGUUUGUUUCCAUUUAUUCACAAUCUCUUGCAACAAAUUUUGACAUUUUAACUGUAGUGAUAGUUUUAUUAGCCUUGUAGCGAGCCCAAGAUACCAACUGCUCCCACCCAUGAUUUUGAAUUUUAAAUACUUUAUUUAAAUGAUUUUGAUGUUUAGAAAUUUAAAAAAUAAACUAAUUUUCUUUUAGGUGAGAAUUAACCCAAAAUUGGUAUUGCCUAUCCAUGAACCUCUUACCUCAAGUUGGUCUGGACUGUGAGGUCGAAAGAUAAGUAGUUGUUGCCAACUCAUUAGUUUAGUGGAAGAUCGAGAGAUCCUACUAGGUUAGCGACUAAUUGAUUGAGUAGAACCAAAAAUAGGAUUUAGUUAUGACCACUGAAGCGAGCUAAUCACUCAUGCUUAGAUUUUAUUGAAUCACAUAUUACUUCUCCAUCUUUUUUAUUUUAUGCAAGCUUAUUUCUUUUCUUAUAAAAACAACUAUUUUUCACUUUAUGAUCAUCGUACUAUAAUUUAUUUAAGUUACUAAUUAGAUCUAUUUGCGUUUAGGUUAAUAUUAAUUUAGUACUUGUCUCCCUUGGGUACGAUCCUCGAGUACUCACCUACUUCGUUGUAAAACUAUAUUACAGCCUGACUCGUAUACUUGAGGACACCGCCUCAAUUCAAUAUAUACUUUUAGCAAUAUUCACACUCUGGAUUCUAGUACGUCCGAAGGCGGUCACUUUCCAAAGUGGCGCGUAGUUUAUCUGCAAAUCAGUGGUGGCUCGUCUACAAUCCGGAGUGAUAUGUUAGACGAGUUCUGGGGAAUUCAUACGUGAGGUGUGUAGCGGAGUUGGGUAGGACUUUUCUGUUAAUUUGAAACUUCAAUGCAUUCAUAAGCACGUGCAUAUAAAAUUGUGAAUACCAAUAUAGUGAAGUGAAGCGUUUUAUGUGAAAAACAGUUAAUCUGAGGUGCUUUGUGGUUGUCUUUAAUCUCAGGAUUGCUAAUUCAUGUGCCUUAUUGGUUUGUUGUUUUAUUUUGAUUUUCUUGUGACUGAACUCACAUUGAGCUUCAUAGCUCACUGCCCUUUAGUUCCCAUCCUUAUAGAUAACCCACCAGGUUGGGAUGCGACAUAUGGAGGGUCGAAAAAGUUUUAAUGUUAUGAAAGUAUUGUUAUGCUUAUUUUAAAAUUUAUGUUAUUUCGGAACUGUACUGUAUUAUUUAUUUUCUGGCAUUGGAUUCAUAUUUAGGUUUUGGUUUUAUAUUGUAAGCAUGACAUAUAAAUUGUUGUUUUUAAGAUGAUGAAAUAAGGAUUUCAAUUAAAUAUGCAUGAAAUAUAGAUGUUAGUAAAACUCAUGAAAAGCCAUUUUUCCGCUGAAAGGUCAUGAUUAAAUUUUGUCUAAUAACUACAAUAUAACUAUGUUUCCAAUAGUUAUCACAUUUUACAAGAAAAAUAUUAGUUUAAUUGUAUUUUAUAUACCCAUGAUUUGUUUUCUAAAAAUAGACACAGUCUUUGUAAGGAUAAAAAAAUAUUUUAAUGUGACUAUAUAAAAUCUUCGAUUGCACUAGGCCAUCACGGUGGCCGAUGUAAUCUCCCGAACUCGGGCCUACCGUCUAGGCCAAUUUGGGGAGGUUACAAUUUCAAUGCCAUAAAGUACUAAAACCAUAUUUUCAAUCAUCUUCAGCAUAGAUUAUUUCAUGUUGAUAUGAGUUGAAUUAAAAUAUUUAAUUUGAACUUAUAAAUUUGUCAUAUUUAAGGGGAAAAAAAGUGGUUUUACUUCAAACAAAAAGAAGAGAUAAAUUGUUACCAACUAAAUUGAUGAACAAGAAUUUGAUAUGAUAUAUACGUGAAUACAAUAAAAAUACAUUAAUUGCGCUACAAUUGUGUAUAAUAUCGUUUUUAUUUAGUUAUAUUGUGUUUGUACAAAAUUUGUAAAGAUAAAAUACUAUGCAUCAAAUAUGUUCAAUUCUAAUUCUAAUUCUAAUUCUAAUUCUAAUUCUAAUUCUAAUUCCAGUUCCAAUUUGAGUUUGAACUUGAUUUGGAACACAAAAAUUGAGCAUGAUGCCAAGUAUGAGAAUCCAACUCAAGUCUUAUCAAAUAAACAAGCCUAAAUAAAUCUAGUAAAGCUAAUUAAAGCAGUUUAAUCUUUAUCUCGUAUCAAGUUUAUAUUUUAAAAGUUAAACUCAAUGAAGUUAUAUUGGAGCAUUCAAUUCUCUAGGUUUCUUUGGAGAUUGAGAUUGAAUUUCUUGGCUCAGUUCAACCCCAUUAAAUAACUUUAAAUUUUUUAUUUUGAUACAAUAGUUAAUAUUGUUUCCAAACUCAUAUAACUGGUUGUGUAGGAAGGGGUCAGGUUUUUUUGUGUGCUUUCUCUCACUACUAUCUCCAAAAUUUUAAUGCUUUUAGUAUUUUAAUAUUUGAAAAUUAUUAAAAAAUUUGUCUAGCAAGAAAAAUAUAAUUUAAUCUUUUCUUCUCCUAGACCACAAAUAAAAAAAAUUGGAACAUAUUUCCCAUUUGUUUCUAAACGGUUGGACUAAUAAUCAACUUAUUGGCAUCAUGCAUUCCAGAUUUGGUAACAUUAAUUUCCAUGACUACACUUAGAACAAAAUAAUGAUAAUUAGUAAACAAAAUCCCCAUCAAUCUUCUCAAGGAUGUUUUGCUGAUAUACUUUCCUUUUAGACAUAGUUUCAUAAGGAAAAAAAUAAAAACGUAAUAAUCUCAAAGAAUCCAAAGAAAUUAGUAUUCCUCCAUGCAACACAAAAUAAGAUACUAUAUAUAUUAAAUCCAUAAGCUAUAAAUUUCCACCAACAUAGUUAAUUAGAUAUAAAGAGAUGGCAAAGUUUUCAUUCAAUUUGUUUAUAUUUGCUGUCAUCUUAAUCUUUGCAACUCGUUAGUUUCUUCCUAUGCAGCUCUUUUAUUUCCUUUGGUAUAAAUAUUAUGUUUUUGUUUAAUUUAACACAAGGGAAUUUUUGUUGCAGACUCAGAGAUGAUGGCGGAGGCAAGAGGACCUGUUAUUUCGUGUAGAUGCAGCAAAACCGAAGACUGUCAGGGUAUUUGCGCCGUGUGCCCCAACUAUAGCUGCAUUAAUAACCUUUGUACUUGCCUUUCAAACGCACCUCCAUUUCCAUAGUCUUAGAAUCUACACACUCCAACAGUUGAAUGAAAUGGUGGGAUUUUUUUGUGUAAUUUGAAAUAAAUUAUCAUGCAAUGGAUCUAAUAAGAAAAAAUAUUGUAAUUGUUGUAAUUUUAAUUUUCUUUUUACCCUUCUCUGCGCCUCCCCUCCCCCUUUCUAGUAGCGAAAAGUAUGUUACAUUUCAAAUAUAUAAAAAGAGUUACAAUCUUGUUUUAAAACUAAAAGAAAUAACAGUAAGAACAAAAGAUAGGAGAAAAAUUAAGACACAAAAUGAGAUGAUAAUUCUUCUUUCUACUUGUAUCUCAUAAGCUUGUAUAUGGCUUCAAUCUAUAGGGCUUCAACAAUGAUAGGCUAAAAAUAAUAUAAAUAGGAAUUUCAAAACUCGCAAUAACUUGAAUGGGUAUUUCAUAAGUUUCAAAUUCCACCGUAUUCUUUUGGUGGGGACACUUUGUUAAUUUAUUAACAACACUAUGCACUAGAUGUGUAUCAAAUGGAAACGUGCUCUGUUAAAACUUUAUUAGAAAAAAUUGCAUAAGCACCUAUUAUAAGCUAAAACAUAAAAGACAUUUCAUGGGAAAACUUAGCUGGACAAUACCUUGGGUAAAGGAAAGAGUAAACAUGUUUUAGACUCUCCCUAAUUUUAAAAAUAUUGAAACAUGGUACAAAUUUUGAAACAAUUUUUAGUUGCUAAAUACUUCGUCAAGGAGAACCAUACUAUGAAGACAUGCCUUUUUAAUUACAAUGAUAACCAUUGAGUUUCAUUGUAUACUCUAGGUUCAUUUGCCAAUAACUCUUUUGCACAUCAUAAUAUAGGUGGGGGCGAAUAAAACUUUAAAUUAAGCGACAUUAAUACAUGCAUUAAAGCCUCCAUUAAUUUCUUAGAAGUUUAUUUUUAUGUCCACAAUCAACAUUUUUCUUAUGCGGACAUGAGACCUUGCUAUUGCAUAUGACUUAAGGAAAACUGUAUAUUAAAUUUAGCCUCCUGGCUUUGUAGAUUUCUACAGCCUAUCUCUCUUUCUUACUCCGUUGCAAGGAUGUUCAUGUAGACCACCUGAUAGAUAGUUGUAUGGUUUCUUUAUUUUUAUUGAAACACAUAUCGAGUCUUUCUUGACAUCACUGUGACUUUAAUAGUCAUUACCAAUAUGGUUUGACUCUUGCAGGUUUUGAGUACAUUGGCGUGUCAUUCGGCCCAAUUAAAGGCUAUUAUUGUUGUUUCAAUUUGAGAUCGCUCUCUUCUAGUUUUUCUUCUUCUUUUCUCAUUUUGGUUUCCUACCCUUUAUAUGCUUGUUGUAGUAUUUUUCCUUAAGUUAAUUUUGGAAAUACAUAGAAUCUAUUGAAUGGAGUGCCAUUAAUCUUAUCAACAUUAUAUCUCAUCAUCUUCUUGCUUGUUUUUAGGAUCUUCAUGGCCAUGGUUAGACAAGAGUUUAUCUAUCUUGUAACACUUAUUUUGGGACAUGCAAUGUGCACAUUUUCUAUAAGUCCUACACUUUUACCUGUUGUUUCAAUGAGGCCAUCUUUAGGUAUUUCCCCCUCUAUUUAUUUCAUUAGUCAAAUUGGAUGUACUUUUAUGAACUUAAAUCAAACAAUCACUUUUUGCGUUUUUGUAACCUCUCUUUUCAGGUCUGAUAACAUCGAUCAAGAAGUUGAGCUCCUCCAUGGAUAGCAUUGGUUGUUUGUUUCCAUUUAUUCACAAUCUCUUGCAACAAAUUUUGACAUUUUAACUGUAGUGAUAGUUUUAUUAGCCUUGUAGCGAGCCCAAGAUACCAACUGCUCCCACCCAUGAUUUUGAAUUUUAAAUACUUUAUUUAAAUGAUUUUGAUGUUUAGAAAUUUAAAAAAUAAACUAAUUUUCUUUUAGGUGAGAAUUAACCAAAAAUUGGUAUUGCCUAUCCAUGAACCUCUUACCUCAAGUUGGUCUGGACUGUGAGGUCGAAAGAUAGGUAGUUGUUGCCAACUCAUUAGUUUAGUGGAAGAUCGAGAGAUCCUACUAGGUUAGCGACUAAUUGAUUGAGUAGAACCAAAAAUAGGAUUUAGUUAUGACCACUGAAGCGAGCUAAUCACUCAUGCUUAGAUUUUAUUGAAUCAAAUAUUACUUCUCCAUCUUUUUUAUUUUAUGCAAGCUUAUUUCUUUUCUUAUAAAAACAACUAUUUUUCACUUUAUGAUCAUCGUACUAUAAUUUAUUUAAGUUACUAAUUAGAUCUAUUUGCGUUUAGGUUAAUAUUAAUUUAGUACUUGUCUCCCUUGGGUACGAUCCUCGAGUACUCACCUACUUCGUUGUAAAACUAUAUUACAACCUGACUCGUAUACUUGAGGACACUGCCUCAAUUCAAUAUAUACUUUUAGCAAUAUUCACACUCUAGAUUCUAGUACGUCCGAAGGCGGUCACUUUCCAAAGUGGCGCGUAGUUUAUCUGCAAAUCAGUGGUGGCUCGUCUACAAUCCGGAGUGAUAUGUUAGACGAGUUCUGGGGAAUUCAUACGUGAGGUGUGUAGCGGAGUUGGGUAGGACUUUUCUGUUAAUUUGAAACUUCAAUGCAUUCAUAAGCACGUGCAUAUAAAAUUGUGAAUACCAAUAUAGUGAAGUGAAGCGUUUUAUGUGAAAAACAGUUAAUCUGAGGUGCUUUGUGGUUGUCUUUAAUCUCAGGAUUGCUAAUUCAUGUGCCUUAUUGGUUUGUUGUUUUAUUUUGAUUUUCUUGUGACUGAACUCACAUUGAGCUUCAUAGCUCACCGCCCUUUAGUUCCCAUCCUUAUAGAUAACCCACCAGGUUGGGAUGCGACAUAUGAAGGGUCGAAAAAGUUUUAAUGUUAUGAAAGUAUUGUUAUGCUUAUUUUAAAAUUUAUGUUAUUUCGGAACUGUACUCUAUUAUUUAUUUUCUAGCAUUGGAUUCAUAUUUAGGUUUUGGUUUUAUAUUGCAAGCAUGACAUAUAAAUUGUUGUUUUUAAGAUGAUGAAAUAAGGAUUUCAAUUAAAUAUGCAUGAAAUAUAGAUGUUAGUAAAACUCAUGAAAAGCCAUUUUUCCGCUGAAAGGUCAUAAUUAAAUUUUGUCUAAUAACUACAAUAUAACUAUGUUUCCAAUAGUUAUCACAUUUUACAAGAAAAAUAUUAGUUUAAUUGUAUUUUAUAUACCCAUGAUUUGUUUUCUAAAAAUAGACACAGUCUUUGUAAGGAUAAAAAAAUAUUUUAAUGUGCUAUUUAAAAUCUUCGAUUGCACUAGGCCAUCACGGUGGCCGAUGUAAUCUCCCGAACUCGGGCCUACCGUCUAGGCCAAUUUGGGGAGGUUACAAUUUCAAUGCCAUAAAGUACUAAAACCAUAUUUUCAAUCAUCUUCAGCAUUGAUUAUUUCAUAUUGAUAUGAGUUGAAUUAAAAUAUUUAAUUUGAACUUAUAAAUUUAUCAUAUUUAAGGGGAAAAAAAGUGGUUUUACUUCAAACAAAAAGAAGAGAUAAAUUGUUACCAACUAAAUUGAUGAACAAGAAUUUGAUAUGAUAUAUACGUGAAUACAAUAAAAAUACAUUAAUUGCGCUACAAUUGUGUAUAAUAUCCUUUUUAUUUAGUUAUAUUGUGUUUGUACAAAAUUUGUAAAGAUAAAAUACUAUGCAUCAAAUAUGUUCAAUUCUAAUUCUAAUUCUAAUUCUAAUUCUAAUUCCAGUUCCAAUUUGAGUUUGAACUUGAUUUGGAACACAAAAAUUGAGCAUGAUGCCAAGUAUGAGAAUCCAACUCAAGUCUUAUCAAAUAAACAAGCCUAAAUAAAUCUAGUAAAGCUAAUUAAAGCAGUUUAAUCUUUAUCUCGUAUCAAGUUUAUAUUUUAAAAGUUAAACUCAAUGAAGUUAUAUUGGAGCAUUCAAUUCUCUAGGUUUCUUUGGAGAUUGAGAUUGAAUUUCUUGGCUCAGUUCAACCCCAUUAAAUAACUUUAAAUUUUUUAUUUUGAUACAAUAGUUAAUAUUGUUUCCAAACUCAUAUAACUGGUUGUGUAGGAAGGGGUCAGGUUUUUUUGUGUGCUUUCUCUCACUACUAUCUCCAAAAUUUUAAUGCUUUUAGUAUUUUAAUAUUUGAAAAUUAUUAAAAAAUUUGUCUAGCAAGAAAAAUAUAAUUUAAUCUUUUCUUCUCCUAGACCACAAAAAAAAAAUUGGAACAUAUUUCCCAUUUGUUUCUAAACGGUUGGACUAAUAAUCAACUUAUUGGCAUCAUGCAUUCCAGAUUUGGUAACAUUAAUUUCCAUGACUACACUUAGAACAAAAUAAUGAUAAUUAGUAAACAAAAUCCCCAUCAAUCUUCUCAAGGAUGUUUUGCUGAUAUACUUUCCUUUUAGACAUAGUUUCAUAAGGAAAAAAAUAAAAACGUAAUAAUCUCAAAGAAUCCAAAGAAAUUAGUAUUCCUCCAUGCAACACAAAAUAAGAUACUAUAUAUAUUAAAUCCAUAAGCUAUAAAUUUCCACCAACAUAGUUAAUUAGAUAUAAAGAGAUGGCAAAGUUUUCAUUCAAUUUGUUUAUAUUUGCUGUCAUCUUAAUCUUUGCAACUCGUUAGUUUCUUCCUAUGCAGCUCUUUUCUUUCCUUUGGUAUAAAUAUUAUGUUUUUGUUUAAUUUAACACAAGGGAAUUUUUGUUGCAGACUCAGAGAUGAUGGCGGAGGCAAGAGGACCUGUUAUUUCGUGUAGAUGCAGCAAAACCGAAGACUGUCAGGGUAUUUGCGCCGUGUGCCCCAACUAUAGCUGCAUUAAAAACAUUUGUACUUGCCUUUCAAACGCACCUCCAUUUCCAUAGUCUUAGAAUCUACACACUCCAACAGUUGAAUGAAAUGGUGGGAUUUUUUUGUGUAAUUUGAAAUAAAUUAUCAUGCAAUGGAUCUAAUAAGAAAAAAUAUUGUAAUUGUUGUAAUUUUAAUUUUCUUUUUACCCGUCUCUGCCCCUCCCCCCCUUUCCAGUAGCGAAAAGCAUGUUACAUUUAAAAUCUAUAAAAAGAGUUACAAUCUUGUUUUAAAACUAAAAGAAAUAACAGUAAGAACAAAAGAUAGGAGAAAAAUUAAGACACAAAAUGAUAUGAUAAUUCUUCUUUCUACUUGUAUCUCAUAAGCUUGUAUAUGGCUUCAAUCUAUAGGGCUUCAACAAUGAUAGGCUAAAAAUAAUAUAAAUAGGAAUAUCAAAACUCGCAAUAACUUGAAUGGGUAUUUCAUAAGUUGCAAAUUCCACCGUAUUCUUUUGGUGGGGACACUUUGUUAAUUUAUUAACAACACUCUGCACUAGAUGUGUAUCAAAUGGAAACGUGCUCUGUUAAAACUUUAUUAGAAAAAAUUGCAUAAGCACCUAUUAUAAGCUAAAACAUAAAAGACAUUUCAUGGGAAAACUUAGCUGGACAAUACCUUGGGUAAAGGAAAGAGUAAACAUGUUUUAGACUCCCCCUAAUUUUAAAAAUAUUGAAACAUGGUACAAAUUUUGAAACAAUUUUUUGUUGCUAAAUACUUCGUCAAAGAGAAUCAUACUAUGAAGACAUGCCUUUUUAAUUACAAUGAUAACCAUUGAGUUUCAUUGUAUACUCUAGGUUCAUUUGCCAAUAGCUCUUUUGCACAACAUAAUAUAGGUGGGGGCGAAUCAAACUUUAAAUUAAGCGACAUUAAUACAUGCAUUAAAGCCUCCAUUAAUUUCUUAUAAGUUUAUUUUUAUAUCCACAAUCAACAUUUUUCUUAUGCGGACAUGAUACCUUGCUAUUGCAUAUCACUUAAGGAAAACUGUAUAUUAAAUUUAGCCUCAUGGCUUUGGAGAUUUCUACAUCCUAUCUCUCUUUCUUACUCCGUUGCAAGGAUGUUCAUGUAGACCACCUGAUAGAUAGUUGUAUGGUUUCUUUAUUCUUAUUGAAACACAUAUCGAGUCUUUCUUGACAUCACUGUGACUUUAAUAGUCAUUACCAAUAUGGUUUGACUCUUGCAGGUUUCGAGUACAGUGGCGUGUCAUUCGGCCCAAUUAAAGGCUAUUAUUGUUGUUUCAAUUUGAGAUCGCUCUCUUCUAGUUUUUCUUCUUCUUUUCUCAUUUUGGUUUCCUACCCUUUAUAUGCUUGUUGUAGUAUUUUUCCUUAAGUUAAUUUUGGAAAUACAUAGAAUCUAUUGAAUGGAGUGCCAUUAAUCUUAUCAACAUUAUAUCUCAUCAUCUUCUUGCUUGUUUUUAGGAUCUUUAUGGCCAUGGUUAGACAAGAGUUUAUCUAUCUUGUAACACUUAUUUUGGGACAUGCAAUGUGCACAAUUUCUAUAAGUCCUGCUCUUUUACCUGUUGUGUCAAUGAGGCCAUCUUUAGGUAUUUCCCCCUCUAUUUUGUUUCAUUAGUUAAAAUCAACCAAUCACUUUUUGUGUUUUUGUAACCUCUCUUUUCAGGUCUGAUAACAUCGAUCAUGAAGUUGAGCUCCUCCGUGGAUAGCCUUGGUUGUUUGUUUCCAUUUUUUCACAAUCUCUUGCAACAAAUUUUGAGAUUUUAAUUGUAUUGAUAGUUUUAUUAGCCUUGUAGCGAGCCCAAGAUACCAACUGCUCCCACCCAUGAUUUUAAAUUUUAAAUACUUUAUUUAAAUGAUUCUGAUGUUUAGAAAUUUAAAAAAUAAACUAAUUUUCUUCUAAAUUUUAUUACUUAGCGAUCCGCUGCUUGGGAGCGGAAGAACUUAAACCCUAGGCCAUACAAGACUAAGAAGUCAUCUAGGUGAGAAUUAACCCAAAAUUGGUAUUGCCUAUCCAUGAACCUCUUACCUCAAGUUGGUCUGGACUGUGAGGUCGAAAGAUAAGUACUUGUUGCCAACUCAUUAGUUUAGUGGAAGAUCGAGAGAUUCUACUAGGUUAGCGGCUAAUUGAUUGAGUAGAACCAGAAAUAGGAUUUAGUUAUGACCACAAAAGCGAGCUAAUCACUCAUGCUUAGAUUUUAUUGAAUCACAUAUUAGUUCUCCAUCUUUUUUAUUUUAUGCAAGUUUAUUUCUUUUCUUAUAAAAACAAUUGUUUUUCACUUUAUGAUCAUCGUACUAUAAUUUAUUUAAGUUACUAAUUAGAUCUAUUUUCGUUUAGGUUAAUAUUAAUUUAUUACUUGUCUGCCUUGGGUACGAUCCUCGAGUACUCACCUACUUCGUUGUAAAACUAUAUUACAACCUGACUCGUAUACUUGAGGAUACCGCCUCAAUUCAAUAUAUACUUUUAGCAAUAUUCACACUCUGGAUUCUAGUACCUCCGAAGGCGGUCACUUUCCAAAGUGGCGCGUAGUUUAUCUGCAAAUCAGUGGUGGCUCGUCUACAAUCCGGAGUGAUAUGUUAGACGAGUUCUGGGGAAUUCGUACGUGAGGUGUGUAGCGGAUUUGGGUAGGACUUUUCUGUUAAUUUGAAACUUCAAUGCAUUCAUAAGCACGUGCAUAUAAAAUUGUGAAUACCAAUAUAGUGAAGUGAAGCGUUUUAUGUGAAAAACCGUUAAUCUGAGGUGCCUUGUGGUUGUCUUUAAUCUCAGGAUUGCUAAUUCAUGUGCCUUAUUGGUUUGUUGUUUUAUUCUGAUUUUCUUGUGACUGAACUCACAUUGAGCUUCAUAGCUCACUGCCCUUUAGUUCCCAUCCUUGUAGAUAACCCACCAGGUUGGGAUGCGACAUAUGGAGGGCUCGAAAAAGUUUUAAUGUUAUGAAAGUAUUGUUAUGCUUAUUUUAAAAUUUAUGUUAUUUCGGAACUGUACUGUAUUAUUUAUUUUCUGGCAUUGGAUUCAUAUUUAGGUUUUGGUUUUAUAUUGCAAGCAUGACAUAUAAAUUUUUGUUUUUAAGAUGAUGAAAUAUGGAUUUCAAUUAAAUAUGCAUGAAAUAUAGAUGUUAGUAAAACUCAGGAAAAGCCAUUUUUCCGCUGAAAGGUCAUAAUUAAAUUUUGUCUAAUAACUACAAUAAAACUAAGUUCACAAUAGUUAUCACCUUUUACAAGAAAAAUAUUAGUUUAAUUGUAUUUUAUAUACCCAUGAUUUGUUUUCUACAAAUAGACAGAGUCUUUGUAAAGAUAAAAAAUGUUUUAAUGUGACUAUUUAAAAUGUUCGAUUUCUCUAGGCCAUCAUGGUGGCCGAUGUAAUCUCCCGACCUCGGGCCUACCGUCUAGGCCAAUUUGGGGAGGUUACAAUUUCAAUGCCAUAAAGUACUAAAACCAUAUUUUCAAUCAUCUUCAGCAUAAAUUAUUUCAUAUUGAUAUGAGUUGAAUUAAAAUAUUUAAUUUGAACUUAUAAAUUUGCCAUAUUUAAGGGGAAAAAAAGUUGUUUUACUUCAAACAAAAAGAAGAGAUAAAUUGUUACCAACUAAAUUGAUGAACAAGAAUUUGAUAUGAUAUAUACGUGAAUACAAUAAAAAUACAUUAAUUGCGCUACAAUUGUGUAUAAUAUCCUUUUUAUUUAGUUAUAUUGUGUUUGUACAAAAUUUGUAAAGAUAAAAUACUAUGCAUCAAAUAUGUUCAAUUCUAAUUCUAAUUCUAAUUCUAAUUCUAAUUCCAGUUCCAAUUUGAGUUUGAACUUGAUUUGGAACACAAAAAUUGAGCAUGAUGCCAAGUAUGAGAAUCCAACUCAAGUCUUAUCAAAUAAACAAGCCUAAAUAAAUCUAGUAAAGCUAACUAAAGCAGUUUAAUCUUUAUCUCGUAUCAAGUUUAUAUUUUAAAAGUUAAACUCAAUGAAGUUAUAUUGGAGCAUUCAAUUCUCUAGGUUUCUAUGGAGAUUGAGAUUGAAUUUCUUGGCUCAGUUCAACCCCAUUAAAUAACUUUAAAUUUUUUAUUUUGAUACAAUAGUUAAUAUUGUUUCCAAACUCAUAUAACUGGUUGUGUAGGAAGGGGUCAGGUUAUUUGUGUGCUUUCUCUCACUACUAUCUCCAAAAUUUUAAUGCUUUUAGUAUUUUAAUAUUUGAAAAUUAUUAAAAAAUUUGUCUAGCAAGAAAAAUAUAAUUUAAUCUUUUCUUCUCCUAGACCACAAAAAAAAUUGGAACAUAUUUCCCAUUUGUUUCUAAACGGUUGGACUAAUAAUCAACUUAUUGGCAUCAUGCAUUCCAGAUUUGGUAACAUUAAUUUCCAUGACUACACUUAGAACAAAAUAAUGAUAAUUAGUAAACAAAAUCCCCAUCAAUCUUCUCAAGGAUGUUUUGCUAAUAUACUUUCCUUUUAGACAUAGUUUCAUAAGGAAAAAAAUAAAAACGUAAUAAUCUCAAAGAAUCCAAAGAAAUUAGUAUUCCUCCAUGCAACACAAAAUAAGAUACUAUAUAUAUUAAAUCCAUAAGCUAUAAAUUUCCACCAACAUAGUUAAUUAGAUAUAAAGAGAUGGCAAAGUUUUCAUUCAAUUUGUUUAUAUUUGCUGUCAUCUUAAUCUUUGCAACUCGUUAGUUUCUUCCUAUGCAGCUCUUUUCUUUCCUUUGGUAUAAAUAUUAUGUUUUUGUUUAAUUUAACACAAGGGAAUUUUUGUUGCAGACUCAGAGAUGAUGGCGGAGGCAAGAGGACCUGUUAUUUCGUGUAGAUGCAGCAAAACCGAAGACUGUCAGGGUAUUUGCGCCGUGUGCCCAAACUAUAGCUGCAUUAAAAACAUUUGUACUUGCCUUUCAAACGCACCUCCAUUUCCAUAGUCUUAGAAUCUACACACUCCAACAGUUGAAUGAAAUGGUGGGAUUUUUUUUGUGUAAUUUGAAAUAAAUUAUCAUGCAAUGGAUCUAAUAAGAAAAAAUAUUGUAAUUAGGGUAAUUUUAAUUUUCUUUUUACCCGUCUCUGCCCCUCCCCCCCUUUCCAGUAGCGAAAAGCAUGUUACAUUUAAAAUCUAUAAAAAGAGUUACAAUCUUGUUUUAAAACUAAAAGAAAUAAUAGUAAGAAGAAAAGAUAGGAGAAAAAUUAAGACACAAAAUGAUAUGAUAAUUCUUCUUUCUACUUGUAUCUCAUAAGCUUCUAUAUGGCUUCAAUCUAUAGGGCUUCAACAAUGAUAGGCUAAAAUAAUAUAAAUAGGAAUAUCAAAACUCGCAAUAAAUUGAAUGGGUAUUUCAUAAGUUGCAAGUUCCACCGUAUUCUUUUGGUGGGGACACUUUGUUAAUUUAUCAACAACACUCUGCACUAGAUGUGUAUCAAAUGGAAACGUGCUCUGUUAAAACUUUAUUAGAAAAAAUUGCAUAAGCACCUAUUAUAAUCUAAAACUUUAAAAACAUUUUCUAGGAAAACUUAGCUGGACAAUACCUUGGGUAAAGGAAAGAGUAAACAUGUUUUAGACUCCCCCUAAUUUUAAAAAUAUUGAAACAUGGUACAAAUUUUGAAACAAUUUUUUGUUGCUAAAUACUUCGUCAAAGAGAAUCAUACUAUGAAGACAUGCCUUUUUAAUUACAAUGAUAACCAUUGAGUUUCAUUGUAUACUCUAGGUUCAUUUGCCAAUAGCUCUUUUGCACAACAUAAUAUAGGUGGGGGCGAAUCAAACUUUAAAUUAAGCGACAUUAAUACAUGCAUUAAAGCCUCCAUUAAUUUCUUAUAAGUUUAUUUUUAUAUCCACAAUCAACAUUUUUCUUAUGCGGACAUGAUACCUUGCUAUUGCAUAUCACUUAAGGAAAACUGUAUAUUAAAUUUAGCCUCAUGGCUUUGGAGAUUUCUACAUCCUAUCUCUCUUUCUUACUCCGUUGCAAGGAUGUUCAUGUAGACCACCUGAUAGAUAGUUGUAUGGUUUCUUUAUUCUUAUUGAAACACAUAUCGAGUCUUUCUUGACAUCACUGUGACUUUAAUAGUCAUUACCAAUAUGGUUUGACUCUUGCAGGUUUCGAGUACAGUGGCGUGUCAUUCGGCCCAAUUAAAGGCUAUUAUUGUUGUUUCAAUUUGAGAUCGCUCUCUUCUAGUUUUUCUUCUUCUUUUCUCAUUUUGGUUUCCUACCCUUUAUAUGCUUGUUGUAGUAUUUUUCCUUAAGUUAAUUUUGGAAAUACAUAGAAUCUAUUGAAUGGAGUGCCAUUAAUCUUAUCAACAUUAUAUCUCAUCAUCUUCUUGCUUGUUUUUAGGAUCUUUAUGGCCAUGGUUAGACAAGAGUUUAUCUAUCUUGUAACACUUAUUUUGGGACAUGCAAUGUGCACAAUUUCUAUAAGUCCUGCUCUUUUACCUGUUGUGUCAAUGAGGCCAUCUUUAGGUAUUUCCCCCUCUAUUUUGUUUCAUUAGUCAAAUUGGAUGUACAGUUAUGAACUUAAAAUCAACCAAUCACUUUUUGUGUUUUUGUAACCUCUCUUUUCAGGUCUGAUAACAUCGAUCAUGAAGUUGAGCUCCUCCGUGGAUAGCCUUGGUUGUUUGUUUCCAUUUUUUCACAAUCUCUUGCAACAAAUUUUGAGAUUUUAAUUGUAUUGAUAGUUUUAUUAGCCUUGUAGCGAGCCCAAGAUACCAACUGCUCCCACCCAUGAUUUUAAAUUUUAAAUACUUUAUUUAAAUGAUUCUGAUGUUUAGAAAUUUAAAAAAUAAACUAAUUUUCUUCUAAAUUUUAUUACUUAGCGAUCCGCUACUUGGGAGCGGAAGAACUUAAACCCUAGGCCAUACAAGACUAAGAAGUCAUCUAGGUGAGAAUUAACCCAAAAUUGGUAUUGCCUAUCCAUGAACCUCUUACCUCAAGUUGGUCUGGACUGUGAGGUCGAAAGAUAAGUACUUGUUGCCAACUCAUUAGUUUAGUGGAAGAUCGAUAGAUUCUACUAGGUUAGCGGCUAAUUGAUUGAGUAGAACCAGAAAUAGGAUUUAGUUAUGACCACAAAAGCGAGCUAAUCACUCAUGCUUAGAUUUUAUUGAAUCACAUAUUAGUUUUCCAUCUUUUUAAUUUUAUGCAAGUUUAUUUCUUUUCUUAUAAAAACAAUUGUUUUUCACUUUAUGAUCAUCGUACUAUAAUUUAUUUAAGUUACUAAUUAGAUCUAUUUGCGUUUAGGUUAAUAUUAAUUUAUUACUUGUCUGCCUUGGGUACGAUCCUCGAGUACUCACCUACUUCGUUGUAAAACUAUAUUACAACCUGACUCGUAUACUUGAGGACACCGCCUCAAUUCAAUAUAUACUUUUAGCAAUAUUCACACUCUGGAUUCUAGUACCUCCGAAGGCGGUCACUUUCCGAAGUGGCGCGUAGUUUAUCUGCAAAUCAGUGGUGGCUCGUCUACAAUCCGGAGUGAUAUGUUAGACGAGUUCUGGGGAAUUCGUACGUGAGGUGUGUAGCGGAGUCGGGUAGGACUUUUCUGUUAAUUUGAAACUUCAAUGCAUUCAUAAGCACAUGCAUAUAAAAUUGUGAAUACCAAUAUAGUGAAGUGAAGCGUUUUAUGUGAAAAACCGUUAAUCUGAGGUGCCUUGUGGUUGUCUUUAAUCUCAGGAUUGCUAAUUCAUGUGCCUUAUUGGUUUGUUGUUUUAUUCUGAUUUUCUUGUGACUGAACUCACAUUGAGCUUCAUAGCUCACUGCCCUUUAGUUCCCAUCCUUGUAGAUAACCCACCAGGUUGGGAUGCGACAUAUGGAGGGCUCGAAAAAGUUUUAAUGUUAUGAAAGUAUUGUUAUGCUUAUUUUAAAAUUUAUGUUAUUUCGGAACUGUACUGUAUUAUUUAUUUUCUAGCAUUGGAUUCAUAUUUAGGUUUUGGUUUUAUAUUGCAAGCAUGACAUAUAAAUUUUUGUUUUUAAGAUGAUGAAAUAUGGAUUUCAAUUAAAUAUGCAUGAAAUAUAGAUGUUAGUAAAACUCAGGAAAAGCCAUUUUUCCGCUGAAAGGUCAUAAUUAAAUUUUGUCUAAUAACUACAAUAUAACUAAGUUCACAAUAGUUAUCACCUUUUACAAGAAAAUAUUAGUUUAAUUGUAUUUUAUAUACCCAUGAUUUGUUUUCUAAAAAUAGACAGAGUCUUUGUAAAGAUAAAAAAUGUUUUAAUGUGACUAUUUAAAAUGUUCGAUUUCUCUAGGCCAUCAUGGUGGCCGAUGUAAUCUCCCGACCUCGAGCCUACCGUCUAGGCCAAUUUGGGGAGGUUACAAUUUCAAUGCCAUAAAGUACUAAAACCAUAUUUUCAAUCAUCUUCAGCGUAGAUUAUUUCAUGUUGAUAUGAGUUGAAUUAAAAUAUUUAACUUGAACUUAUAAAUUUGCCAUAUUUAAGGGGAAAAAAGUGGUUUUACUUCAAACAAAAAGAAGAGAUAAAUUGUUACCAACUAAAUUGAUGAACAAGAACUUGAUAUGAUAUAUACGUGAAUACAAUAAAAAUACAUUAAUUGCGCUACAAUUGUGCAUAAUAUCCUUUUUAUUUAGUUAUAUUGUGUUUGUACAAAAUUAGUAAAAAUAAAAUACUAUGCAUCAAAUAUGUUCAAUUCUAAUUCUAAUUCUAAUUCUAGUUCCAAUUUGAGUUUGAACUUGAUUUGGAACACAAAAAUUGAGCAUGAUGUCAAGAAUGGGAAUCCAACUCAAGUCUUAUCAAAUAAACAAGCCUAAUUAAAUUUAGUAAAGCUACUUAAAGCAGUUUAAUCUUUAUCUCGUAUCAAGUUUAUAUUUUAAAAGUUAAACUAAAUGAAGUUAUAUUGGAGCAUUCAAUUCUCUAGGUUUCUAUGGAGAUUGAGAUUGAAUUUUUUGGCUCUGUUAAACCCCAUUAAAUAACUUUAAAUUUUUUAUUUUGAUACAAUAGUUAAUAUUAUUUCCAAACUCAUAUAACUGGUUGUGUAGGAAGGGGUCAGGUUUUUUUGUCUGCUUUCUCUCACUACUAUCUCCAAAAUUUUAAUGCUUUUAGUAUUUUAAUAUUUGAAAAUAAUUAAAUAUAUAUAUUUGACUAACAGGAAAAAUAUAAUUUAAUCUUUUCUUCUCCUAGACCACAAAUAAAAAAAGAAUUGGAACAUAUUUCCCAUUUGUUUCUAAACAGUUGGACAAAUAAUCAACUUAUUGGCAUCAUGCAUUCCAGAUUUGGUAACAUUAAUUUCCAUGACUACACUUAGAACAAAAUAAUGAUAAUUAGUAAACAAAAUCCUCAUAAAUCUUCUCAAGGAUGUUUUUCUGGUUUACUUUCCUUUUAGACAUAGUUUCAUAAGGAAAAAAAUAAAAACGUAAUAAUCUCAAAGAAUCCAAAGAAAUUAGUAUUCCUCCAUGCAACACAAAAUAAGAUACUAUAUAUAUUAAAUCCAUAAGCUAUAAAUUUCCACCAACAUUGUUAAUUAGAUAUAAAGAGAUGGCAAAGUUUUCAUUCAAUUUGUGUAUAUUUGCUGCCAUCUUAAUCUUUGCAACUCGUUAGUUUCUUCCUAUGCAGCUCUUUUAUUUCCUUUGGUAUGAAUAUUAUGUUUUUGUUUAAUUUAACACAAGGGAAUUUUUGUUGCAGACUCAGAGAUGAUGGCGGAGGCUAGAGGACCUGUUAUUUCGUGUAGAUGUAGCAAAACCGAAGACUGUCAGGGUAUUUGCACCGUGUGCCCCAACUAUAGCUGCAUUAAUAACCUUUGUACUUGCCUUUCAAACACACCUCCAUUUCCAUAGUCUUAGAAUCUACACACUCCAACAGUUGAAUGAAAUGGUGGGAUUUUUUUGUGUAAUUUGAAAUAAAUUAUCAUGCAAUGGAUCUAAUAAGAAAAAAUAUUGUAAUUAUUGUAAUUUUAAUUUUCUUUUUACCCUUCUCUACCCCUCCCCCCCUUCUAGUAGCGAAAAGUAUGUUACAUUUCAAAUAUAUAAAAAGAGUUACAAUCUUGUUUUAAA
Molecule: long non-coding RNA, 31026 nt
Filed under: Gossypium barbadense (sea-island cotton)
Lineage: Eukaryota; Viridiplantae; Streptophyta; Magnoliopsida; Malvales; Malvaceae
Description: long non-coding RNA (GBAR_LNC021900)
Source: RNAcentral